Molecule: ribosomal RNA, 396 nt
Filed under: Triticum aestivum (bread wheat)
Lineage: Eukaryota; Viridiplantae; Streptophyta; Magnoliopsida; Poales; Poaceae
Description: partial small subunit ribosomal RNA
Source: RNAcentral
AUGCCGACAAAGGCGCAAUGGAUCGCCCUGCUGAAAGAAAAGCAAGGCGGAUCCAUGAGCAGCGGCAGGAAGAAGGGGAAGGGUAAGCAGUGCUCGGUGACAAAGAACUUCACCGACUCGGACGACAAGGAUGCAUCUGCACCACCGAGGAGGAAGUUUGACAUCAGAAAAGUGAGGUGUAAUAAGUGUGGCCUCCUCGAUCACUUCAAGGCUAACUGCGCGGAAGCACCAAAACAACGGGCGCUCAUGGCCGAGGAAGGAGACGACGGGGAUAUGAUACUGAUGUGCGAGCUAGUGGAUGAGGAGGAUCCAGAUGAUCUUGGUCUGCUGGAGACAGGUCCGGUGAGUGCAUCCGUGUCGAUAGAACCAGACAGUUGUGGCGCCAGAAGACCAUGA